CCAAAUACUUUUCUAAGCAUAUUGCAGCAUCUUGAUCUUAGUCAUGUGGGCUCACCUAAUAGUUAUUGCCCACACUUCUUAGCUAAGUCCGACCCACCGUUCAUAAGCAGGUGCAAGCUGUCAUUGGAUCCCUCACCUAAUAGUAGUUGGGUCCAACCCCAUCCUUACCCUAGAGCAACUCUUUGCUAAUAGAGUGGUUACAUGUUCUCGAUGCAACUGGACCACUAUAACCAAUCGAGAACAAUCAACGUCGGUAGCACGCCCGCAUAUCUACAACGAUGGAA
RNAcentral lists this long non-coding RNA (284 nucleotides) under Elaeis guineensis (African oil palm). RNAcentral's name for it is "long non-coding RNA (EGUI_LNC051064)". The record is from RNAcentral. Lineage: Eukaryota; Viridiplantae; Streptophyta; Magnoliopsida; Arecales; Arecaceae.